AUCAAUACUAAAGAUGGAACUGUGAAGUUUCUUACUAUUUCACCUUGAACGGUGUGAACUCUAGAGUGUUUGACUGGUUUCUUAAUUGUGCAGCCUGACAUGCAUGGAUUUGCAGUAAACAAUUAAACAAAUUAUAAACUAUUCAUUUGUACUCUUUUAACAACCAAAUAUCUCUAUAAUAAUAAUUUCGACUUAUUCUCAGAAACUUUUACUAUUAAAAAUAUGUAUUUACAGUAUGACAUAGCUGAAGGCUAUUAUUUACAGACAAGCAAACAGUUGUAAACAAAUUUGCAUAUUAAAAGGGGGAGAUAACUGAAAGUUAAAACUUGGGACUGGGACUAGCUCACAUACUAAAAAUAAUAACAUGGGGGACUUUAUACAUAUAGCAUAUAACACAAUAAAUGAAGUUCAAUAAACGCAUUUACUUUGAACCAGAAAACUAUGUAAACAAACCGGGAAUCUUAUGAAAUAAGAAAACAAGUAACACUGGGCUUUGCAAUGGGAUAAAUAGAGAACAUCAGUUUACUAGCUUCUAAGAGCUUUCUGUUACCUAACGACCAUGAGAACUAAUGCAAAAUGCUUUGAAUAAUAAUGUUCUUACACCUACCAUUGUUUACAAAUAAUGGGUAAACUGUAAAUUGAGACAUAUUACUUGCUCAUGAAAUUGUCGCGGUAAAACUGGAGUUGUCUCCCAUAUAAAAAUUACUUCUGAUGAAGCGUGUUCAUUUUAGUCUAGUUUUGGCAACUAGUGUUCAUUUACAAAAAUACUUAAUAUGUUUGAAAUUAAUAAAAACUUUCAAAAUAUUAACUUGAAAAAGAUAUAUACAUAUUUAAAAUUGACCAACUGGUUUGGCGUCUUUCUCUAACUAUUGAAAAUGAUAAUUUCUCUUAAAAAUGCUAAAU
This 903-nucleotide long non-coding RNA is filed under the name Mytilus galloprovincialis (Mediterranean mussel). Lineage: Eukaryota; Metazoa; Mollusca; Bivalvia; Mytilida; Mytilidae. The record is from RNAcentral.